CUACGGGGGGCUGCAGUGGGGAAUAUUGCACAAUGGACGAAAGUCUGAUGCAGCAACGCCGCGUGGAGGAUGACACUUUUCGGAGCGUAAACUCCUUUUAUAUAGGAAGAUAAUGACGGUACUAUAUGAAUAAGCACCGGCUAACUCCGUGCCAGCAGCCGCGGUAAUACGGAGGGUGCAAGCGUUACUCGGAAUCACUGGGCGUAAAGAGCGUGUAGGCGGGUUAAUAAGUCAGAAGUGAAAUCCAAUGGCUCAACCAUUGAACUGCUUUUGAAACUGUUAACCUAGAAUAUGGGAGAGGUAGAUGGAAUUUCUGGUGUAGGGGUAAAAUCCGUAGAGAUCAGAAGGAAUACCGAUUGCGAAGGCGAUCUACUGGAACAUUAUUGACGCUGAGACGCGAAAGCGUGGGGAGCAAACAGGAUUAGAUACCCCUGUAGUC
Molecule: ribosomal RNA, 439 nt
Filed under: uncultured bacterium
Lineage: Bacteria
Description: partial 16S ribosomal RNA
Rfam family: Bacterial small subunit ribosomal RNA
Source: RNAcentral